GACGAACGCUGGCGGCGUGCUUAACACAUGCAAGUCGAACGGAAAGGCCCUGCAUUUGUGGGAUGCUCGAGUGGCGAACGGGUGAGUAACACGCGAGUAACCUGCCCUUGACUUUGGGAUAACUUCAGGAAACUGGGGCUAAUACCGGAUAGGAGCUCCUGCUGCAUGGUGGGGGUUGGAAAGUUUCGUCGGUUGGGGAUGGACUCGCGGCUUAUCAGCUUGUUGGUGGGGUAGUGGCUUACCAAGGCUUUGACGGGUAGCCGGCCUGAGAGGGUGAUCGGCCAGGUUGGUCCUGAGAAACGCCCGGGAAUCGAAAGAGAGCCAGCAGUGGAGAAAGUUGGCAGAGGAGAGGAAGACGCAUGCAGCAACCUGACGUGGGGAAUAGGGGCCUUCUGGUGGUAAACCGCUUUCGCAUGAUACGCACCGAGAUUGACAGUACCGGGUAAAGAAGCACCGGCUCACUACGUG
This 468-nucleotide ribosomal RNA is filed under the name uncultured bacterium. RNAcentral describes it as "partial 16S ribosomal RNA". It matches the Rfam family "Bacterial small subunit ribosomal RNA", at positions 28 to 507 of the family's 1533-position model. The record is from RNAcentral.